CCUCAGUAACGGCGAGUGAAGCGGCAAGAGCUCAAAUUUGAAAGCUGGCCCCCUCGGGGUCCGCAUUGUAAUUUGCAGAGGAUGCUUCGGGAGUGGCCCCCAUCUAAGUGCCCUGGAACGGGCCGUCAUAGAGGGUGAGAAUCCCGUCUGGGAUGGGGUGCCCACGCCCGUGUGAAGCUCCUUCGACGAGUCGAGUUGUUUGGGAAUGCAGCUCUAAAUGGGUGGUAAAUUUCAUCUAAAGCUAAAUACUGGCCGGAGACCGAUAGCGCACAAGUAGAGUGAUCGAAAGAUGAAAAGCACUUUGAAAAGAGAGUUAAACAGCACGUGAAAUUGUUGAAAGGGAAGCGCUUGCGACCAGACUCGCCCACGGGGUUCAGCCGGCAUUCGUGCCGGUGUACUUCCCCGCGGGCGGGCCAGCGUCGGUUUGGGCGGCCGGUCAAAGGCCCUCGGAAUGUAACGCCCCCCGGGGCGUCUUAUAGCCGAGGGUGCCAUGCGGCCAGCCCGGACCGAGGAACGCGCUUCGGCUCGGACGCUGGCAUAAUGGUCGUAAGCGACCCGUCUUGAAACACGGACCAAGGAGUCUAACAUCUACGCGAGUGUUCGGGUGUCAAACCCGUGCGCGCAGUGAAAGCGAACGGAGGUGGGAACCCCUCGGGGCGCACCAUCGACCGAUCCUGAUGUCUUCGGAUGGAUUUGAGUAAGAGCGUAGCUGUUGGGACCCGAAAGAUGGUGAACUAUGCCUGAAUAGGG
Molecule: ribosomal RNA, 750 nt
Filed under: Penicillium sp. 2 091 TSG-2012
Lineage: Eukaryota; Fungi; Ascomycota; Eurotiomycetes; Eurotiales; Aspergillaceae
Description: eukaryotic LSU rRNA
Rfam family: Eukaryotic large subunit ribosomal RNA
Source: RNAcentral